Molecule: ribosomal RNA, 305 nt
Filed under: uncultured bacterium
Lineage: Bacteria
Description: partial 16S ribosomal RNA
Rfam family: Bacterial small subunit ribosomal RNA
Source: RNAcentral
ACAGCAGCAGCCGCGGGAACACGGAGGGGGCUAGCGUUGUUCGGAAUUACUGGGCGUAAAGCGUACGUAGGCGGCUUUGUAAGUUAGAGGUGAAAGCCUGGUGCUCAACACCAGAACUGCCUUUAAGACUGCAUCGCUUGAACGUCGGAGAGGUGAGUGGAAUUCCGAGUGUAGAGGUGAAAUUCGUAGAUAUUCGGAAGAACACCAGUGGCGAAGGCGGCUCACUGGACGACUGUUGACGCUGAGGUACGAAAGCGUGGGGAGCAGACAGGAUUAGAUACCCCUGUAGUCCCUGUCUCUUAUAC